CAUACCUACGAAAUGGUACAUAAUUUUUAAAAGAAACAGGGCAGUACACAUAGUAAACGGCAGAAUUAAAUUUUCACACCUCUCAGUCUAAAUAAUGUCAUCAGUAUCCUCUUACGAGAUGAGCAUGUUAUUUUGUGACAAGCGAGGACAGCUCACUGCUUAAUAUCAGGAAUGUGAAAUAGCCACAUCUGAACACUUCCUCAGUAGCUGUGUGGUGAAUGAAACCUAUCACAUGGCAGUAUUUAAAAAAUGUAUAACUCUUUUAUUAUUACACAGGAAUUUAAGGUGGCAGACAGUGAUACAUAGCAGAGGUGUCCUCCGUUUCUUUGUUGGCUGCUGCUUCACAGAUCCACUGUAUUCCCCAUGCAGAGAAGGAAUGGAGUCCCUGAUCCAAAACACAAGUUACCAUCCACAAUUACCGUCUCAGAAACGAACCUACUGGAGACAUAACUUUAGUCUGUCAAUGUGUACUGUGUUUAAUAAACUAUCUACCUUAUCAUCCUAA
Anguilla rostrata (American eel) is the source of this 505-nucleotide long non-coding RNA. RefSeq lists it as uncharacterized. The transcript is spliced from 2 exons. Lineage: Eukaryota; Metazoa; Chordata; Actinopteri; Anguilliformes; Anguillidae. The record is from RefSeq and is a predicted model, not a curated record.